This 253-nucleotide ribosomal RNA is filed under the name uncultured bacterium. RNAcentral's name for it is "partial 16S ribosomal RNA". It matches the Rfam family "Bacterial small subunit ribosomal RNA", at positions 524 to 776 of the family's 1533-position model. The record is from RNAcentral.
UACGUAGGGGGCUAGCGUUGUCCGGAAUCAUUGGGCGUAAAGAGCGUGUAGGCGGUCCGGUAAGUCCGCUGUGAAAGUCGGGGGCUCAACCCUCGAAUGCCGGUGGAUACUGUCGGGCUAGAGUGCGGAAGAGGCGAGUGGAAUUCCUGGUGUAGCGGUGAAAUGCGCAGAUAUCAGGAGGAACACCGGUGGCGAAGGCGGGUCUCUGGGCCGAUACUGACGCUGAGGAGCGAAAGCGUGGGGAGCGAACAGG